GAUGAAGAACGUAGCGAAAUGCGAUAAGUAAUGCGAAUUGCAGAAUUUCCGUGAGUCAUCGAAGCUUUGAACGCACAUUGCGCCCACUGGUAUUCCGGUGGGCAUGCCUGUUCGAGCGUCAUUAUCCUCCCUCAAACCCCGGGUUUGGUGUUGGACCCAAGUUGUGUGAACAACUGGUCUCAAAGACAAUGACGGCGUCCGUGGGACCCUCGGUGCAACGAGCUUUUAGGAGCACGCAUCGAGUUGCAAGGACCUUCCGGGCCGGUCUCCUUUACCAUUUUACAAGGUUGACCUCGGAUCAGGUAGGAAUACCCGCUGAACUUAAGCAUAUCAAUAAGCGGAGGA
RNAcentral lists this unclassified non-coding RNA (345 nucleotides) under soil metagenome. RNAcentral's name for it is "partial contains 5.8S ribosomal RNA, internal transcribed spacer 2, and large subunit ribosomal RNA". The stretch from base 1 to 121 matches the Rfam family "5.8S ribosomal RNA", at positions 35 to 154 of the family's 154-position model. The record is from RNAcentral.